GGGUUGUGAGGUUAAGCGACUAAGCGUACACGGUGGAUGCCCUGGCAGUCAGAGGCGAUGAAGGACGUGCUAAUCUGCGAUAAGCGUCGGUAAGGUGAUAUGAACCGUUAUAACCGGCGAUUUCCGAAUGGGGAAACCCAGUGUGUUUCGACACACUAUCAUUAACUGAAUCCAUAGGUUAAUGAGGCGAACCGGGGGAACUGAAACAUCUAAGUACCCCGAGGAAAAGAAAUCAACCGAGAUUCCCCCAGUAGCGGCGAGCGAACGGGGAGCAGCCCAGAGCCUGAAUCAGUGUGUGUGUUAGUGGAAGCGUCUGGAAAGGCGCGCGAUACAGGGUGACAGCCCCGUACACAAAAAUGCACAUACUGUGAGCUCGAUGAGUAGGGCGGGACACGUGGUAUCCUGUCUGAAUAUGGGGGGACCAUCCUCCAAGGCUAAAUACUCCUGACUGACCGAUAGUGAACCAGUACCGUGAGGGAAAGGCGAAAAGAACCCCGGCGAGGGGAGUGAAAAAGAACCUGAAACCGUGUACGUACAAGCAGUGGGAGCCUCUUAAUGGGGUGACUGCGUACCUUUUGUAUAAUGGGUCAGCGACUUAUAUUCUGUAGCAAGGUUAACCGAAUAGGGGAGCCGAAGGGAAACCGAGUCUUAACUGGGCGUUAAGUUGCAGGGUAUAGACCCGAAACCCGGUGAUCUAGCCAUGGGCAGGUUGAAGGUUGGGUAACACUAACUGGAGGACCGAACCGACUAAUGUUGAAAAAUUAGCGGAUGACUUGUGGCUGGGGGUGAAAGGCCAAUCAAACCGGGAGAUAGCUGGUUCUCCCCGAAAGCUAUUUAGGUAGCGCCUCGUGAAUUCAUCUCCGGGGGUAGAGCACUGUUUCGGCAAGGGGGUCAUCCCGACUUACCAACCCGAUGCAAACUGCGAAUACCGGAGAAUGUUAUCACGGGAGACACACGGCGGGUGCUAACGUCCGUCGUGAAGAGGGAAACAACCCAGACCGCCAGCUAAGGUCCCAAAGUCAUGGUUAAGUGGGAAACGAUGUGGGAAGGCCCAGACAGCCAGGAUGUUGGCUUAGAAGCAGCCAUCAUUUAAAGAAAGCGUAAUAGCUCACUGGUCGAGUCGGCCUGCGCGGAAGAUGUAACGGGGCUAAACCAUGCACCGAAGCUGCGGCAGCGACACUAUGUGUUGUUGGGUAGGGGAGCGUUCUGUAAGCCUGCGAAGGUGUACUGUGAGGUAUGCUGGAGGUAUCAGAAGUGCGAAUGCUGACAUAAGUAACGAUAAAGCGGGUGAAAAGCCCGCUCGCCGGAAGACCAAGGGUUCCUGUCCAACGUUAAUCGGGGCAGGGUGAGUCGACCCCUAAGGCGAGGCCGAAAGGCGUAGUCGAUGGGAAACAGGUUAAUAUUCCUGUACUUGGUGUUACUGCGAAGGGGGGACGGAGAAGGCUAUGUUGGCCGGGCGACGGUUGUCCCGGUUUAAGCGUGUAGGCUGGUUUUCCAGGCAAAUCCGGAAAAUCAAGGCUGAGGCGUGAUGACGAGGCACUACGGUGCUGAAGCAACAAAUGCCCUGCUUCCAGGAAAAGCCUCUAAGCAUCAGGUAACAUCAAAUCGUACCCCAAACCGACACAGGUGGUCAGGUAGAGAAUACCAAGGCGCUUGAGAGAACUCGGGUGAAGGAACUAGGCAAAAUGGUGCCGUAACUUCGGGAGAAGGCACGCUGAUAUGUAGGUGAAGUCCCUCGCGGAUGGAGCUGAAAUCAGUCGAAGAUACCAGCUGGCUGCAACUGUUUAUUAAAAACACAGCACUGUGCAAACACGAAAGUGGACGUAUACGGUGUGACGCCUGCCCGGUGCCGGAAGGUUAAUUGAUGGGGUUAGCGGUAACGCGAAGCUCUUGAUCGAAGCCCCGGUAAACGGCGGCCGUAACUAUAACGGUCCUAAGGUAGCGAAAUUCCUUGUCGGGUAAGUUCCGACCUGCACGAAUGGCGUAAUGAUGGCCAGGCUGUCUCCACCCGAGACUCAGUGAAAUUGAACUCGCUGUGAAGAUGCAGUGUACCCGCGGCAAGACGGAAAGACCCCGUGAACCUUUACUAUAGCUUGACACUGAACAUUGAGCCUUGAUGUGUAGGAUAGGUGGGAGGCUUUGAAGUGUGGACGCCAGUCUGCAUGGAGCCGGCCUUGAAAUACCACCCUUUAAUGUUUGAUGUUCUAACGUUGGCCCCUGAUCGGGGUUGCGGACAGUGUCUGGUGGGUAGUUUGACUGGGGCGGUCUCCUCCUAAAGAGUAACGGAGGAGCACGAAGGUUGGCUAAUCCUGGUCGGACAUCAGGAGGUUAGUGCAAUGGCAUAAGCCAGCUUGACUGCGAGCGUGACGGCGCGAGCAGGUGCGAAAGCAGGUCAUAGUGAUCCGGUGGUUCUGAAUGGAAGGGCCAUCGCUCAACGGAUAAAAGGUACUCCGGGGAUAACAGGCUGAUACCGCCCAAGAGUUCAUAUCGACGGCGGUGUUUGGCACCUCGAUGUCGGCUCAUCACAUCCUGGGGCUGAAGUAGGUCCCAAGGGUAUGGCUGUUCGCCAUUUAAAGUGGUACGCGAGCUGGGUUUAGAACGUCGUGAGACAGUUCGGUCCCUAUCUGCCGUGGGCGCUGGAGAACUGAGGGGGGCUGCUCCUAGUACGAGAGGACCGGAGUGGACGCAUCACUGGUGUUCGGGUUGUCAUGCCAAUGGCACUGCCCGGUAGCUAAAUGCGGAAGAGAUAAGUGCUGAAAGCAUCUAAGCACGAAACUUGCCCCGAGAUGAGUUCUCCCUGACUCUUUAAGGGUCCUGAAGGAACGUUGAAGACGACGACGUUAAUAGGCCGGGUGUGUAAGCGCAGCGAUGCGUUGAGCUAACCGGUACUAAUGAACCGUGAGGCUUAACCUUACAACGCCGAAG
RNAcentral lists this ribosomal RNA (2925 nucleotides) under Escherichia coli. RNAcentral's name for it is "23S ribosomal RNA". It matches the Rfam family "Bacterial large subunit ribosomal RNA". The record is from RNAcentral. Lineage: Bacteria; Pseudomonadati; Pseudomonadota; Gammaproteobacteria; Enterobacterales; Enterobacteriaceae.